Molecule: ribosomal RNA, 484 nt
Filed under: uncultured bacterium
Lineage: Bacteria
Description: partial 16S ribosomal RNA
Rfam family: Bacterial small subunit ribosomal RNA
Source: RNAcentral
AUUGAACGCUGGCGGCAGGCCUAACACAUGCAAGUCGAGCGGUUGAAGGGCGCUUGCUCCUGGAUUCAGUGGCGGACGGGUGAGUAAUGCCUAGGCAUCUGCCUGGUAGUGGGGGAUUACGUCCGGAAACGGGCGCUAAUACCCCAUACGUUCUGAGGGUGCAAGUGGGGGAUCCUCGGACCUCCCGCUAUCAGAUGAGCCUAGGUCGGCUUAGCUAGUUGUUGGGGUAAAGGCCUACCACGGCGACGAUCCGUAACUGGUCUGAGAGGAUGAUCAGUCACACUGGAAAUGAGACACGGUCCAGACGCCUACGAGAGGCAGCAGUGGGGAAUAUUGGACAGUGGGCGAAAGCCUGAUCCAGCCAGGCCGCGUGUGUGAAGAAGGUCUUCGGAUUGUGAAGCACUUUAAGUUGGGAGGAAGGGCAGUAAGUUAAUACCUUGCUGUUUUGACGUUACCAACAGAAUAAGCACCGGCUAACUUCGUG